UACGAAGGGGGCUAGCGUUGCUCGGAAUGACUGGGCGUAAAGGGCGCGUAGGCGGCUUGCACCGUCGGAUGUGAAAUCCCCGGGCUCAACCCGGGAACUGCGUCCGAUACUGGAAGGCUUGAAUCCGGGAGAGGGAUGCGGAAUUCCAGGUGUAGCGGUGAAAUGCGUAGAUAUCUGGAGGAACACCGGUGGCGAAGGCGGCAUCCUGGACCGGCAUUGACGCUGAGGCGCGAAAGCCAGGGGAGCAAACGGG
RNAcentral lists this ribosomal RNA (253 nucleotides) under uncultured bacterium. RNAcentral describes it as "partial 16S ribosomal RNA". It matches the Rfam family "Bacterial small subunit ribosomal RNA", at positions 524 to 776 of the family's 1533-position model. The record is from RNAcentral.